UACAGAGGGUGCAAGCGUUAAUCGGAAUUACUGGGCGUAAAGCGUGCGUAGACGGUUAUGUAAGUCAGAUGUGAAAGCCCCGGGCUCAACCUGGGAAUUGCAUUUGAGACUGCAUAGCUAGGGUGCGGAAGAGGGAAGCGGAAUUUCCGGUGUAGCGGUGAAAUGCGUAGAUAUCAGGAGGAAUACCGAUGGCGAAGGCAGGUCUCUGGGCUGACACUGACGCUCAUGCACGAAAGCGUGGGGAGCAAACAGG
Molecule: ribosomal RNA, 253 nt
Filed under: uncultured bacterium
Lineage: Bacteria
Description: partial 16S ribosomal RNA
Rfam family: Bacterial small subunit ribosomal RNA
Source: RNAcentral